Symphalangus syndactylus (siamang) is the source of this 5562-nucleotide long non-coding RNA. RefSeq lists it as uncharacterized. The record is from RefSeq and is a predicted model, not a curated record. NCBI's taxonomy places the organism in Eukaryota, Metazoa, Chordata, Mammalia, Primates, Hylobatidae.
ACAUACCUCCUGCUUGCUCAAUUGAUCAUGACCCUCUCUCACAGACCCCCAUAGAGUUGUAAGCCCUUAAAAGGGACAGGAAUUACUCACUUGGGGAGCUUGGCUCUUGAGACAGGAGUCUUGCUGAUGCUCCUGGCUGAAUAAACCUCUUCCUUCUUUAACUCAGUGUCUGAGGAGUUUGUCUGCAGCUCGCCCUGCUACAUUUCUUGGUUCCCUGACCGGGAAGGAAGGUGAUUGGCAGAUGGUCAAGGCAGCUCCUUAGGCGACUUAAGCCUGCCCUGUGGAACAUCCCUGCGGGGGACUCCAACCAGCCCAAGCCACACGGAUACUGAGAGCACUCCCGGGUAGGCAUUUGCUCCAGUGAGAUGCCUCGCCAGAGCAGUGUGUGGCAGCCCCCCAUGGAGGAUCAAUGCAGUGGCUGAACACUGGGAAGGAACUGAUACUUGGAGUCCAGACAUCUGAAACUUGCACUUGUACCACCCCUAGAAUUUCCGGUAAACCAGCGCCAGCCUGAAGAACACGUUCUCAUCAAAAGGUGGAAAGAAGAAAACUCGAGCCAGCCUCAGAAGGACCCUACCUUGUGCUGCUAACCACCAAGACUGCUGUUUGUACAGCAAAAAAGGAUAGACUCAUCACACCCGAGUCAGGAAAGCGCCACCCCCUCCAGAGUCGUGGGCCAUAGUCCCGGGGAAAACCCUACCAAACUAAAGCUAAGAAAAAUUUAACUCUUUUCACCUAUUCUAUUACUCUUUCUUCUUUCCUCGUUCUAUUGCUGACCAUCUAGUUAUUAACAUAACCAAGUCAAUUUUGCCUCAAACUUGCAUUUAAUGCUUGCCUUGUGGAGACUUGCCAAGUCAAAGACAGUUUUCUACUUCAGAAAAGUACCUCUGUUCCUCCUGACUUUCCUUAGACUGGGCAUUAGUAAACUAGGACCAUUUAAUCCAGGGAGAUUUCGAUAAAGACCCCAGUGCCAACCAGGAGUCUUGCCCCCUGAUGUAGAGCUUUCAUGCCAUAGUUGGUCCAACAUUCUGUGGACCACUAAAGAGCAAGGAUGGACUGCCCCAACCGGUUUUUGUAAUUUCCUAAAAUCAUACAUUCAUUUUACUAGAGGAUCAUGGAAGUUAAAGACUUACAACAAACUUUAGCAAUUAAGACAGGAUACCAAGAUGCAAAUGCCUGGUUAAAAUGGAUCAAAUAUUCCAUCUGCACAUUAAACAAAAGCAAUUGUUAUGCUUGUGCACAUGGCAGGCCAGAGGCACAGAUUGUCCCCCUUCCACUAAGGUGGACCUCCAGUCGACCAGGCAUAGGCUGCAUGGUAGCUCUUUUCCAGUAUUCUACAGCCUGGAGUAAUAAGUCAUGCCAAGCUCUCUCUGCUCUAUCCCAAAGUCCGGCACCCUGCAGGUCAGCCCCCAAGGGCCAUCCAGCUUCCAUCUCCCAACACUAAGUUCACUUCGUGUCUCUCACGACAGGGAGGAAACAGCAUUCCUUGGAGACCUGAAGGGAUGUGAUGAGCUUAAGAAUUUUCAAGAGCUUAUCAGUCAGUCAGCCCUUGUUCAUCCCUGAGUGGAUGUAUGGUGGUAUUGUGGUGGACCUUUACUGGGCACUCUGCCAAAUAACUAGAGUGGCACUUGUGCUUUAGUCCAUUUGGCUGUCCCUUUCACCCUGGCAUUUCAUCAACCAGAGGUAGAAAAAAUAAGACAUCGUAAAGUGAGAGAAGCCCCUUAUGGGUCUUUCAACUCUCACAUCUAUUUAGAUGCAGUUGGAGCCCCGCAAGGAAUACCAGAUCAAUUUAAAGCUUGAAAUCAAAUAGCUGCAGGAUUUAAGUCAAUAUUUUAGUGGGUGACAGUUAACAAAAAUGUAGAUUAGAUAAACUAUAUCUAUUACAACCAACAGCAACAAGCUUUUCAUGAGUUAAAAGAAAAACUCAUGUCGGCCUCAGCCCUGGGGCUACCUGACCUGACAAAACCCUUUACACCCUAUGUGUCAGAAAAAAAAAAUGGCAGUUGGAGUUUUAACCCAGACUUUAGGGCCCUGGCAAAGGCCAGUGGCCUAUCUCUCAAAACAACUAGACAGGGUUUCCAAGGGCUGGCCCCCAUGUCUAAGGGCCCUGGCAGCAACGGCCUUGUUAGCACAAGAAGCAGAUAAGCUAACUCUUAGGCAAAACCUAAACAUAAAGUACCCCCAUGCUGUGGUGACUUUAAUAAAUACCAAAGGACAUCAUUAGCUAAUCAAUGCUAGACUAACUAGAUACCAAAUCUUGCUCUAUGAAAAUCCCCGCAUAACCAUUGAAGUUUACAACACCCUAAACCCCGCCACCUUGCUCCCGGUAUCAGAGAGCCCAGUUGAACAUAACUGUGUAGAGAUAUUGGACUCAGUUUAUUCUAGUGGGCCCAACCUCCAAACCAUCCUUAAACAGCAGUAGACUGAGAGCUGUAUGUGGAUGGGAGCAGCUUUGCCAACUCCUGCAAAGUGGCUCUGAAGAAGACAACAAGCCCUGCUCCAGUCACACACCUGGAAGCUGACUGAUCCAUGCAUGGCCAAAGCAUGAGGAAACUCAUCACGGGACUCAUUUUGCUUAAAAUUUGGACUUGUACAGUAAGGACUUCAACUGACCUUCCUGAGACUGAGGACUGUUCCCAGUGUAUACAUCAAGUCACUGAGGGUCUCACUCUGUUGCUCAGCCUGAAGUGCACUGUGGCACCAUCUCGGUUCACUGCAACCUCCACCUCCUGGGCUCAAGCGAUUCUCCUGCCUUGGCCUCCCAAGUAGCUGGGACUACAGGAGCACCACACCAUACUUGGCUAAUUUUUGGAUUUUUUGUAGAGACAGGGUUUCACCAUGUUGCCCAGGUUGGUCUGGAAUUCCUAAGCUCAAGCAAUCCACCUGCCUCAGCCUCCCAAAGUGCUGGGAGUGCAAGCAAGAGCCACUGCACAAACCUCUUGUCAACAAUCUAUAAGAAUUUCUGUUUCCCCUCAACUUCCCUAUCCCUGUCUACUAUCAAGCUAUUUGAUGCUUACAAAUUUGAUUGGGUUAAAAUGUUUUCUCAUUGUGAUUUUUAUUAGCAUUUUUAAGAUUGUGAAUGAGCAUCUUUUCUUACCUUUUUAAGAUUUUCUUAUGUUUAUUUCCUUUGUCCAUAAUCUAUCCAGUGUUAUUUUAAAUUGUUGAUUUAUAAAUACUCUUUAUAUAUUUAGAAAAUAAUAUUUUGUUGGUCAUAUGUGUUGCAAAUAUGGUUUCACAGUUUUUGUUAUUUGCUUUUGACUUUCUUGUUUUCUUUCUCCCUCAGCAGAUUUUACAUAGGCAAAUAUAUCCAUUGUAUUAGUCUGUUUUCACUCUGCUACUAAAGACAUAUCGAGACUGGGUAAUUAAUAAAGGAAAGAGGCUUAAUGGACUCACAGUUCCACAUGGCUGAGGAGGCCUCACAUUCGUGGCAGAAGAUGAAGGAAAGCUAACGAACAUCUUACAUGGUGGCAGGCAAGAGCAUGUGCAGGGGAACUCUCAUUUAUGAAACCAUCAGAUCUCGUGAUACUUAUUCACUAUCAUGAGAACAGCAAGGGAAAGACCCAUUCCCAUGAUUCAAUUACUUCCCACUGGGUCCCUCCCAUGACAUGUGGGGAUGAUGGGUGGGGACACAGCCAAACCAUCAUCAUCAUCCAUCUUUUAAUUUGCAGUUUAUUUUUAUGUUUGGCCUUAAAAGGUCUUAUCUUUUCCAAGAUUAUAAAUAAUACUCUUAUAUUGUUAUGUUUAAAGUUUUGAUUCCCUUGUAAGUUAUUUUUGUGAAAAGAGUAAAGGAAACAUCCAAUUACAUUUAUUUUUCAAAUGGCUGACCAUUAUCCUAUCUCCAUUUAUUUAAUAAUCCAUUUUUUCUCUGUUUUGAAAUGCCAUCUUUACUGACAUGUAUUCUCUAUAAAGAUUUGUCAGUCUUUAUUAAAUGAAUUGAAUUCAAGGAUGGCUAAAAUCAAUUACUUUUUCAUGGUUGUCUUAGGACCUGGGAUCAGAUUGGGACAGUCAGUAUCUAAUUUAUUUACCUAUUUAUUAUUUUAAAUUAUUUCACAUCUAAGUCAUAGCUUUACAGUGUUCUAAACAGCCACCUCCCCCAAAAUAGGUCCAAUACUUCUGAUUUAUAUAAACAAUGAGGAAAUAACUAGACAGCCAGAAAUAGAUUCCUUUAAAAUACCAGGAGGAUUAAUUGGCUAGUGAUGAGAUAAUACAUCUCCAACUGAUAAUUAAAUAUGAUUGUUCUUUGUGGAAAUAUGAAGUAAUUGCAUGCAAGGUGGGAUUAGUUUUUAUUGCUUUAGUUGGUGUACAACAUUGAGUCUCAACUUUUUAAAUUUUUAUUUUAUUUUAUUUGAUAUGAAGUCUUGCUAUGUUGCCCAGGCUGGUCUCAAGUACUUGGGUUUAAGUGAUCCUCCCAGCUCAGCUUCCCAAGUAGCUGGGAUUCCUGGGAUGUGCCACCAUAAUUAGGUAGAUGUGAACUUUUAACAAUGGCCUACUCAUUUAUAGUAGAUUGGGAAGACCAGAAUGACUGGAAUCUAUAGGAAAACUUCAACAGACUAUAGACACAGAUUUUAGCAUCCUCAUCCUCAGCUAUCAUAGACACUUGGAGUUUUUUUAUUUAUUUGGUUUAUAGUAUUGUUCAAGUGUGCUGUUUCUUUAUUGAUUUUUUAUGUUGGAGUAUUGAAGUUUUUUUAUUUUUUUAAAUUUUAUUUCUCUGACACUGGCUCUGAGGUGACAUGAACCUUUUUAUUAUUAUUGUAUUUUUGCUCAUUUCUCUUUUUAGUUCCCUUAAUAUUUGCUUUAUAUAUUUAUAAAUGAUGGUAGGUGCAUACAUAUUUAUGACUGUUAUAUCUUCCUGAUGAAGAGAACUUUUAUCAUUAUAUAAUGUAUUUCUUUGUCUUGUGAAUAACAUCUGUUUUGUUUGAUGGAAGUAUAGCCACCUCUGCUCUCAUUUGGUUACUAUCUGUACAGAAUAUCUUUUUCUAUCACUUCACUUUUAGCCUAUGUGUAUCCUUAAAUCUAAAAUGAGUCUCUUGUAGACAACAUAUAGUUGGGUCUCUUAAACUUAACCAUUUAAUCACUCGAUGUCUUUUGAUUGGGGACUUUAAUCCAUUUAUAUUUAAAGUAAUUAUUGGUAGAGAAGAACUUACAAUUGCCAUUUUGUUCUUUCCUGUUUUGUAGUUCUUUUGUUCUUUUUUCUCCUCUUGAUGCUUUGCUUGGCAUUUUAUUGAUUUUUUUUGUAGAUAUAGUCUUUGUUCUCUUUCUCUUUUUCUUUUUUGUAUCUUCUGUAUGUAUUUUUGUGUGUGGUUACCAUAAGUCCUAUGUAAAAUAUUUUAUUACUAAAACCAUCCAUUUUAAGCUGAUAACAACUUAGAAGUAUUAAGUAUGCUUUAAUUGCAUGCAAAUAUCUCUAUACUUUUACUCCCCACUACACAAUUUAUAUUAUUGAUGUCACAAUUUAUAUCUUUUUAUACUGUAACUUCAUUAACAAAUUUUUGUAAAGUUAUUCUUAAUAUUUUUUGACUUUUAACUUGUGUACUAAAAUUAAAAUCAAUUUACACACCAUCA